GAUGAAGAACGCAGCGAAAUGCGAUACUUGGUGUGAAUUGCAGAAUCCCGUGAACCAUCGAGUCUUUGAACGCAAGUUGCGCCCGAAGCCAUUAGGCCGAGGGCACGCCUGCCUGGGCGUCACACGUCGUUGCCCCCCCAUCUACUCCUUCGGGAUUGCGGGGGGCGGAUGAUGGCCUCCCGUGCGCCUCGCCGCGCGGUUGGCAUAAAUGCCAAGUCCUCGGCGACGCACGCCACGACAAUCGGUGGUUGCGAAACCUCGGUUGCCCGUCGUGUGCGGUCGUCGCGCAUCGAGGGCUCGAAAAAAUUGCCGGGUUCCGGCUCGGCUUUCAACGCGACCCCAGGUCAGGCGGGGUUACCCGCUGAAUUUAAGCAUAUCAUAAGCGGAGGA
RNAcentral lists this unclassified non-coding RNA (390 nucleotides) under soil metagenome. Its description in RNAcentral is "partial contains 5.8S ribosomal RNA, internal transcribed spacer 2, and large subunit ribosomal RNA". The stretch from base 1 to 122 matches the Rfam family "5.8S ribosomal RNA", at positions 35 to 154 of the family's 154-position model. The record is from RNAcentral.